Molecule: ribosomal RNA, 274 nt
Filed under: uncultured bacterium
Lineage: Bacteria
Description: partial 16S ribosomal RNA
Rfam family: Bacterial small subunit ribosomal RNA
Source: RNAcentral
AUACGGAGGGUGCAAGCGUUAAUCGGAAUUACUGGGCGUAAAGCGUACGUAGGCGGUUUAUUAAGUCAGAUGUGAGAGCCCCGGGCUUAACCUGGGAACUGCAUUUGAAACUAGUAGACUAGAGUAUGGUAGAGGGGGGUAGAAUUCCUAGUGUAGCGGUGAAAUGCGUAGAUAUUAGGAGGAAUACCAGUGGCGAAGGCGGCCCCCUGGACCAAUACUGACGCUGAGGUACGAAAGCGUGGGGAGCGAACAGGAUUAGAUACCCCAGUAGUCC